Non-coding RNA from Bos taurus (domestic cattle), 71 nucleotides. The record is from Rfam. Lineage: Eukaryota; Metazoa; Chordata; Mammalia; Artiodactyla; Bovidae.
UCCCAGGUGGCUCAGUGGUAAAGAAUCUGCCUGCCAAGCAGGAAACUCGGGUUCAAUCCCUGGUUUGGGAA